This 325-nucleotide long non-coding RNA is filed under the name Marmota monax (woodchuck). Lineage: Eukaryota; Metazoa; Chordata; Mammalia; Rodentia; Sciuridae. The record is from RNAcentral.
UCCUUUUUUUUUUUUUUUUGCAGAAAGAUGAGAAGAUAAGGUAAAUAUAUGGAUCCUAGUUUUCCAGAGUUCUCAAAGUAUAAGAAGUCAGAAAAGAAAUAAAACAAGGAUCAAGAAGAUGAAACACUUGAGGAUAUAUUUUUUGUUUUAUUCUCUUUUGGCCUUUUGUCUUUUUGGGAGUGUUACUAUAUCUGUCUAUUCUUAUAUUUAGAAAAAUGUACAUAAAAUAUCAGUUUUUAUAAUAUUUAAAAUUUCAUAAUCAUUUUGAUCACCAUAUAACUUUUUUCAUUUAAGUUUCUUUCUACCUAAUAUCCUUUAACCAAAC